GUGGAACGACAUUUAUUGGAUAUUUCAAACUUUUUUAACAAAUCAAAAACUGAAAAGUUGGGCAUGCAAAAUUAUUCAGCCCCCUUAAGUUAAUACUUUGUAGCGCCACCUUUUGCUGCGAUUACAGCUGUAAGUCGCUUGGGGUAUGUCUCUAUCAGUUUUGCACAUCGAGAGACUGAAAUUUUUUCCCAUUCCUCCUUGCAAAACAGCUCGAGCUCAGUGAGGUUGGAUGGAGAGCAUUUGUGAACAGCAGUUUUCAGUUCUUUCCACAGAUUCUCGAUUGGAUUCAGGUCUGGACUUUGACUUGGCCAUUCUAACACCUGGAUAUGUUUAUUUUUGAACCAUUCCAUUGUAGAUUUUGCUUUAUGUUUUGGAUCAUUGUCUUGUUGGAAGACAAAUCUCCGUCCCAGUCUCAGGUCUUUUGCAGACUCCAUCAGGUUUUCUUCCAGAAUGGUCCUGUAUUUGGCUCCAUCCAUCUUCCCAUCAAUUUUAACCAUCUUCCCUGUCCCUGCUGAAGAAAAGCAGGCCCAAACCCUGAUGCUGCCACCACCAUGUUUGACAGUGGGGAUGGUGUGUUCAGGGUGAUGAGCUGUGUUGCUUUUACGCCAACCAUAACGUUUUGCAUUGUUGCCAAAAAGUUCAAUUUUGGUUUCAUCUGACCAGAGCGCCUUCUUCCACAUGUUUGGUGUGUCUCCCAGGUGGCUUGUGGCAAACUUCAAACGACACUUUUUAUGGAUAUCUUUAAGAAAUGACUUUCUUCUUGCCACUCUUCCAUAAAGGCCAGAUUUGUGCAAUAUACGACUGAUUGUUGUCCUAUGGACAGAGUCUCCCACCUCACCUGUAGAUCUCUGCAGUUCAUCCAGAGUGAUCAUGGGCAUCUUGGCUGCAUCUCUGAUCAGUCUUCUCCUUGUAUGAGCUGAAAGUUUAGAGGGACGGCCAGGUCUUGGUAGAUUUGCAGUGGUCUGAUACUCCUUCCAUUUCAGUAUUAUCGCUUGCACAGUGCU
Oncorhynchus tshawytscha (Chinook salmon) is the source of this 1004-nucleotide long non-coding RNA. NCBI's taxonomy places the organism in Eukaryota, Metazoa, Chordata, Actinopteri, Salmoniformes, Salmonidae. The record is from Ensembl.